This 443-nucleotide ribosomal RNA is filed under the name uncultured bacterium. Its description in RNAcentral is "partial 16S ribosomal RNA". It matches the Rfam family "Bacterial small subunit ribosomal RNA", at positions 338 to 795 of the family's 1533-position model. The record is from RNAcentral.
CCUACGGGUGGCAGCAGUGGGGAAUAUUGGGCAAUGGGCGCAAGCCUGACGCAGCAACGCCGCGUGAAGGAAGAAGGCUUUCGGGUUGUAAACUUCUUUUCUCAGGGACGAAGCUAGUGACGGUACCUGAGGAAUAAGCCAAGGCUAACUACGUGCUAGCAGCCGCGGUAAUACGUAGGUGGCAAGCGUUUUCCGGAAUUACUGGGUGUAAAGGGCGUGUAGGCGGGGGCGCAAGUCAGAUGUGAAAUACAUGGGCUCAACCUGUGGACUGCAUUUGAAACUGUGUUACUUGAGUAUUGGAGAGGCAAACGGAAUUCCUAGUGUAGCGGUGAAAUGCGUAGAUAUUAGGAGGAACACCAGUGGCGAAGGCGGGCUGCUGGACAGCAACUGACGCUGAGGCGCGAAAGCGUGGGGAGCAAACAGGAUUAGAUACCCCGGUAGUC